CAUCCCGAGUGCCGACCGCUGAGGUUGGCUUUUACCCAGUCUAGAAAGCUGGGGGAAUAAGGAGAGGGCAAGUCUGGUGUCAGCCGCCGCGGUAAUACCAGCUCUCCGAGUGGUGUGGACGUUUAUUGGGCCUAAAGCAUCCGUAGCUGGCUGAACAAGUCCCCUGUUAAACCCACCGAUUUAAUCGUUGGUCUGCGGGGGAUACUGCUCGGCUAGGGGACGAGAGAGGCAGACGGUAUUCCCGGGGUAGGGGUGAAAUCCUAUAAUCCCGAGAAGACCACCAGUGGCGAAGGCUGUCUGCUAGAACGCGCCCGACGGUGAGGGAUGAAAGCUGGGGGAGCGAACCGGAUUAGAUACCCGGGUAGUCCCAGCUGUAAACGAUGCAGACUAGGUGUUUGGACGGCCACGUGCCGUUCUAGUGCCGCAGGGAAGCUGUUAAGUCUGCCGCCUGGGGAGUACGAUCGCAAGAUUGAAACUUAAAGGAAUUGGCGGGGGAGCAC
This 500-nucleotide ribosomal RNA is filed under the name uncultured archaeon. RNAcentral's name for it is "bacterial SSU rRNA". It matches the Rfam family "Archaeal small subunit ribosomal RNA", at positions 377 to 879 of the family's 1478-position model. The record is from RNAcentral.